Molecule: ribosomal RNA, 446 nt
Filed under: uncultured bacterium
Lineage: Bacteria
Description: partial 16S ribosomal RNA
Rfam family: Bacterial small subunit ribosomal RNA
Source: RNAcentral
CCUACGGGUGGCAGCAGUCGAGAAUCAUUCACAAUGGGGGAAACCCUGAUGGUGCGACGCCGCGUGGGGGAAUGAAGGUCUUCGGAUUGUAAACCCCUGUCAUGUGGGAGCAAAUUAAAAAGAUAGUACCACACGAGGAAGAGACGGCUAACUCUGUGCCAGCAGCCGCGGUAAUACAGAGGUCUCAAGCGUUGUUCGGAAUCACUGGGCGUAAAGCGUGCGUAGGCUGUUUCGUAAGUCGUGUGUGAAAGGCGCGGGCUCAACCCGCUGACGGCACAUGAUACUGCGAGACUAGAGUAAUGGAGGGGGAACCGGAAUUCUCGGUGUAGCAGUGAAAUGCGUAGAUAUCGAGAGGAACACUCGUGGCGAAGGCGGGUUCCUGGACAUUAACUGACGCUGAGGCACGAAGGCCAGGGGAGCGAAAGGGAUUAGAUACCCCAGUAGUC